Dioscorea cayenensis subsp. rotundata (Guinea yam) is the source of this 218-nucleotide long non-coding RNA. RefSeq lists it as uncharacterized. The record is from RefSeq and is a predicted model, not a curated record. The transcript is spliced from 4 exons. NCBI's taxonomy places the organism in Eukaryota, Viridiplantae, Streptophyta, Magnoliopsida, Dioscoreales, Dioscoreaceae.
CAAUCUCAAUCCUCAGAUGAGCCUGACUCUCCUAGAAAUAUUUCUACGGUGCUAUUCUUUGAUUCAGAUAUGGAAGGCGAGCCCAUGAACUUCCGUGAUGUUUUUCUUUAUAGUCAAGCUCUUGAAGGAAUAACAAUAUCCAUGAUUCUGGAGGCACCAAAUGAGGAAGAGGUUUCUUUGCUUUUGGAGAUAUUUGGACUUUGUAUUACAGGGGGAAG